Molecule: ribosomal RNA, 368 nt
Filed under: uncultured organism
Description: bacterial LSU rRNA
Rfam family: Bacterial large subunit ribosomal RNA
Source: RNAcentral
CUUGACUGUAGCCUGGAAUUGGGUUCGGGCUUUUCUUGCGCAGACUAGGUGGGAGGCUAUGAAGAUUUCCUUCCGGGGAAGUUGGAGCCAACAGUGAGAGACCACUCUGGAAAGGCUAGAAUCCUCAUGGUGAUCCUUGAAUCAAGACACUUGACAGUUUCAGGUGGGCAGUUUUUCUGGGGCGGAAACCUCCCAAAGGGUAACGGAGGUGUGCAAAGGUUCCCUCAGUCUGGACGGAAAUCAGACAUUGAGUGUAAAGGCAAAAGGGAGCUUGACUGCAAGACCUACAAGUCGAGCAGGGGCGAAAGCCGGCCUUAGUGAUCCGACGGUACCGUGUGGAAGGGCCGUCGCUCAACGGAUAAAAGUUA